Molecule: long non-coding RNA, 2516 nt
Filed under: Heterocephalus glaber (naked mole-rat)
Lineage: Eukaryota; Metazoa; Chordata; Mammalia; Rodentia; Bathyergidae
Description: lncRNA (ENSHGLG00000036679.1)
Source: RNAcentral
GUCCUCAGGCCUUUACUCUGGGCUGUCCACUCCGCAGCUUCACUGUCCUCUCCUGGGUCCUUCCGUCCUGGACUCCCUGGCACAUCCUCCAGGCAGAGGACUGCCAGCAUUGGCCUUCCUCUGGCACACUCCCUGCCAGGCUAUACCUUUCUUUGCCGAGAAGGGAUUGUUGCUGUGACCGGGGUGCAAGGGGCCUCCUGGGCUCUCCGUGGGCAGCCAGCGCUUCUCAUACUGCACCUUCACUUUAUUGUCCUUAAGCAGCCCAGCCCAGCCUGUUUCUUUGUGGAAUCCGGGUCGAUGGAGUUUCCGGGUUCCAUGUGGUCCUCUUCCUCACAAUCACGGGCGCCGAGGACAUGGAGCACCCUGAUCUGUAAUGCAGGAUCUGAGCAGAGCAGCCGGUUUCAGACCCCCCUCCCAUCCUGACUUUUAACAGUGUUCUCACCUGAGUCACCUGCCUUGAGCAGGACCCCCCAGCCCCCCAUCAAGCCCAGUGUUAACACAGCACUCUCUCUGGACUUGAUUCACGGCGAAGAGGGUUCUAGCUGGAGUAUAUGUGCUCAGCAGGAGAAGAGGGGGCGACAGCUCACCCAGUUCCCCUUCUGCUUUGGGAAUGCUCUGACAUUCACAGCUCGGGGGCCCACACCGCCAGCCUUUGGGGUUGGUGAUGAGCAGUGACAUUUGAUGCUGGCAGGAAGGCACUCGUGCCUGGGGGUCCUACCUGGGUCCCAGGGAGACCAGCUGGGCACGGAGGGUCAGAGGCUGUGAUUGCUUCAGCUUGCUUUUACUUUGGGCGGUUGAGUUGUUAGCCUACUUGCAGGAGAGCACAUUUUCCCUGUGCGUCUUCAGCCCUUGACUGGGGAGGACAGCGCUUGCAGGUCAUCUGGGGCCUGUUCCAGGGCCACUGGGUGGGGAAGCAGCUUCUAAGGUAUGCCUGGCACCCGUGUUGUCACCUGGGAUGGUGUUCCCUGAGGUGUGCGUGACUGCGUCUCCUCUGAGUCUUAAUGAGUCUGAUUUGAAGGUGUGUCUCGUGGGGUGUGAUUCAGGUGAGGCCCUGGGUGACAUGGGCUGUGGGAGGGCUGGACUAGAGCUGUGCUUCCGUGCCAUCUCCUGACAAGCGAAGUCUCAGUUCUCCCACGCUGGAGGAUGGGGCGUCCAAGUGACUCGCCGGAGCUGGUGGUCGGCUUUGUCCUCUGUCCCGGCCCAGCUGUUCCCUCAGGGCACAGGGAGCCACAGGGGUCCUCCAAGCCAGCCUGAGCUGUUUGAGAGCAGAGUAGGUAAGAGCAGGGAUGUGCGGGCAGCCAGCGCACGUGCUGAGGACCUGCUGUGCUUGUCCUCUGUACCAAAGGAGCACGUCUUUGUGACAAAUCCCAGUGUUUAACGCACAGUGAAAGUCCCUCAGCUUCUCAUCCCAGUCUCCCCAUCACUGUUGUGAAUUAACGUUGUUGGCCUGGAUUUUUUUUUUUUUUCAAAGUACUGAGGAUUGAACCCAGGGCCUUCAUAAUGGAGCUACACCCCAUCCCCUGCCCCUUUAAAAAAAAUUGGAGACAGUGGCCUUAAACUUGCAAUCUUCCUGCCUCAGCUUUCUGAGUAGUUUUGAUUACAGACAUCUGCCACAGUGCCCAGAAGCCUGAUCGCUAAUAAAAAGGGCAUUUUCCAUGGAGAUGCACUGAGACUGUUCCAUGGCAGGGGUGGUGGGCUGCUGCCCGGCAUUGGCAGUGACACAGGAAAGCGGGAUCACAGGUGGGGACAGCUAGGGCCAACUUGAAGACGUAGGCCCCUGGAAGCAGCACCCUGGGCAGCUGGCAGGCAGGGGCCCAGGCUGCUACAGAUGCUGCAGACAGGAGGUGGCGGGCGUCCAACAGCUAGCUACCUGUGCAGAUAGACAUAAGGGCCAGACUGCGCGUACCACAAAAAGUUGAAUAAAAUGAUACACGGUGAGUAUUUAUGUAAAAUACAAAAAUGAAACAGUUUUUAUCAAUUCACAUGUCUCUAAAAACACUGGUACCUAGAGGGUAGUGGUCACAUCUGGGGGCUGCAGGGCGGAAUUGCAGGUAUGUGAGGAUUUCCUUCAAGAGUUGAAAAUGUGAUGAGAGCUGAAGUUUUCACGCAGGGACGCUGGCAUCUGUCUCCGGCCACUGCGGGUCAGAGGACACCCUGCUCUGUUGCCCCCUCAGGGCCAGUACAUCGCUGUCUGCUCCGAGAGCAGGGCCCGUCCCUCGGCAGUGGCACUUGCCUCUACCGUCAACUCUGCUCUGGGGUUCGGGUCUCUCUGUGGGGUCUGGGGGAAUCUGUGAAAUGUGUGUGUUGUGCUAAUGACCAGUGACUGCCAGGUCCCCUGACCACACCAGCUGGGCCUGCUGCUGGGAGCGCAGGAGGCCGGCAGUCAGGAUGAGUGGCCAUGUUGUGUCACCCUGGGGGCCCGUGCGUCUGAUCUGAGUGACUGGUGUUGUCCGGGAGUGCAGGGUGGACCUGUGCCGCUAUCCCCACUGUCCUGCUGCAGCUGGGUGAGAGGCAGG